This 468-nucleotide ribosomal RNA is filed under the name uncultured bacterium. RNAcentral describes it as "partial 16S ribosomal RNA". It matches the Rfam family "Bacterial small subunit ribosomal RNA", at positions 28 to 507 of the family's 1533-position model. The record is from RNAcentral.
GACGAACGCUGGCGGCGUGCUUAACACAUGCAAGUCGAACGGAAAGGCCCUGCUUUUGUGGGGUGCUCGAGUGGCGAACGGGUGAGUAACACGUGAGUAACCUGCCCUUGACUUUGGGAUAACUUCAGGAAACUGGGGCUAAUACCGGAUAGGAGCUCCUGCUGCAUGUUGGGGGUUGGAAAGUUUCGGCGGUUGGGGAUGGACUCGCGGCUUAUCAGCUUGUUGGUGGGGUAGUGGCUUACCAAGGCUUUGACGGGUAGCCGGCCUGAGAGGGUGACCGGCCACAAUGGGACUGAGAGACGGACCAGAAUCCUACGGGAGGCAGCAGUGGGGAAUAUUGCACAAUGGGCGGAAGCCUGAUGCAGCAACGCCGCGUGCGGGAUGACGGCCUUCGGGUUGUAAACCGCUUUCGCCUGAGACGAAGCGUGAGUGACGGUAAUGGGUAAAGAAGCACCGGCUAACUACGUG